This 301-nucleotide ribosomal RNA is filed under the name uncultured bacterium. RNAcentral's name for it is "partial 16S ribosomal RNA". It matches the Rfam family "Bacterial small subunit ribosomal RNA", at positions 512 to 808 of the family's 1533-position model. The record is from RNAcentral.
CAGUCGCCAGGUAAAACGUAGGGUCCGAGCGUUGUCCGGAAUUAUUGGGCGUAAAGAGCUCGUAGGCGGUUUGUCGCGUCUGCCGUGAAAGUCCGGGGCUCAACCCCGGAUCUGCGGUGGGUACGGGCAGACUAGAGUGAUGUAGGGGAGACUGGAAUUCCUGGUGUAGCGGUGAAAUGCGCAGAUAUCAGGAGGAACACCGAUGGCGAAGGCAGGUCUCUGGGCAUUAACUGACGCUGAGGAGCGAAAGCAUGGGGAGCGAACAGGAUUAGAUACCCGAGUAGUCCCUGUCUCUUAUACA